This is a long non-coding RNA of Rhincodon typus (whale shark), 535 nucleotides long. RefSeq lists it as uncharacterized. The transcript has 4 exons. The record is from RefSeq and is a predicted model, not a curated record. Lineage: Eukaryota; Metazoa; Chordata; Chondrichthyes; Orectolobiformes; Rhincodontidae.
CUUUGGUACUGCUAAGUGAUUCGCCAGGCCAUCCAGAGGAAAUCACAUGUAGGCCAGGUCAGACAGCUGUGGACGCCCAGUCAUUGAGUUUGCUUAAAACAGAGAUCACUCAUUUGUCGAAAUUACAGAUGCCAAGUGAUGUGGAGACAAUGCAGAAAAGUGAUAUUCAGAACCUACCUCUGUGCGGGUCGUUGGUCAUCUACCUCAUGCCGCCUUAAGGAGAAUCAAAACCUGUUAUGGAGAAAGUGAUGGAAUACUUGGAAAAUAUUCAAUUACUUGGAGAGAGCUAACAUGGAUUUGUGAAACGUGGGGUUUGCCUCACUGAGUGAAUUUUCAUCUGAGUGAAUUUUCUGAAGCUGUGAAUGAAGCAGUAGAUAAUGGAACGUCUCCGGAUGUUACGUAUAAGGAUUUUCAGAAUGCAUUUAAUAGAUUUCUUUAUAAGUGUUAUGCCUCACUGAUGAAGCAUGCCAAAAUGAAAUCUCACUAUACUCGGAGCCAUCACAAAAGUUAAAGUUUUUGCAAAGGAAUCAGAAUA